RNAcentral lists this ribosomal RNA (402 nucleotides) under uncultured bacterium. RNAcentral describes it as "bacterial SSU rRNA". It matches the Rfam family "Bacterial small subunit ribosomal RNA", at positions 355 to 774 of the family's 1533-position model. The record is from RNAcentral.
UAGGGAAUAUUAGUAAUGGGCGAAAGCCUGAACUAGCAACGCCGCGUGUGCGAAGAAGGCCUUCGGGUUGUAAAGCACUUUUAGAGAGGAUGAGGAAGGACGGUACUCUCAGAAUAAGUCUCGGCUAACUACGUGCCAGCAGCCGCGGUAACACGUAGGAGGCGAACGUUAUCCGGAUUUACUGGGCGUAAAGCGCGUGUAGGUGGUUUGGUAAGUAGGGCGUGAAAGCUCCCGGCUCAACUGGGAGAGGCCGUUCUAAACUGCCAAGCUAGAGGAUGGUAGAGGGAGGUGGAAUUCCGGGUGUAGCGGUGGAAUGCGCAGAUAUCCGGAGGAACACCAGUGGCGAAGGCGGCCUCCUGGGCCACUCCUGACACUCAGACGCGAAAGCUAGGGUAGCAAACG